UCACUUCUUCGUACACCUGCUGACAGUUUCUUAAAUGGAUCAGUGGUUUCCUUACUAUUCUACAGAACUGAUGACAGUUUGCAAGGGGGUAUGAAAAAUACCCCGGCCUUGAAGUUGUUUACACCAAUAUCCACAGAUGAUAAAUUGGGCUGUCAUUCUGAUCUUACCAUAGAGGGCAAAAAGGGGAUUUAGUGGUGGCGUUGAUCACAGCCAUACAAGAUGCAAACGGAUCAUACAUCCAUUACCAGAUUCCUGCCUUUGCCACCAUCUGUUCUUCUCCAUCUCUGCUGAGGGUUUGCAACUAAUGAGUCAUCUGGAUCAUUUUUGCAAAGCAACUUCAGUAUGGCCGAACUGGAUUCUUGGUCCUAUGGUCAGAGAGAGUAAGGCUGGUGAAGUCUGGCCAUGUGAUUAGCCAGUGUCCUGCUGAUCAAGAACCACUGCUUUGGUUUGGGGACAACUAUCCUAGAGGAGAGAAGACAUGAAUGGAAUGAGAAUAGCAUUUUUAAGGACAAAAAGGCCACCUGACAUGAAGGGAGAGACUCAUGGAGGAUUCAAAAUUGAGGUUUGAUGAAGACUAUUUUCAUUGGAUCAGAAUUGUACUUAAAAAUUGUUUUAUCAAAGUUGGAAUUUUUUAUUGAGAAUCAGAAAUACUUUGUUAAUAGCCCCAGUGGCAAAUGGAAGCGUAUAUAUUUUUAUGACUCUUUUUUUGUAUGAAAGUUCAGAAAUGAACUUUAAUUCAGAAGUUACUCUGAGGUACAAGGCUGACAGAGGAAAGAAGUGAAGUUGAUGAAAACUGGCUAUCCGAUCUGUGGGCAGAUGUGUGGACGAACAAGGGAAAGCAUUGAUCUAGUUGCUAAGUUAUUUUCAGGAUUAUUGUGUUGUGCUGUCUGUGGUGACUCUGCCUUGAGAAAGACUGCAACAGAGUACUGACUAUUUAAGUGUUUAAGUAGUUACUUGAGAUUGGCAGAAUGAACUUGCAGAAUGAACUUCCAGGGGUGUGUAUGAGGAUGGUGGGAGAGGGGUAGGAAGAAGCUGAGAAAUUUGGGAGGAAACAAGGGUUAAAUAUCACUGUGUAGAAAUAAAGAAACAGAUGUA
Long non-coding RNA from Bubalus bubalis (water buffalo), 1095 nucleotides. RefSeq lists it as uncharacterized. The transcript is spliced from 3 exons. NCBI's taxonomy places the organism in Eukaryota, Metazoa, Chordata, Mammalia, Artiodactyla, Bovidae. The record is from RefSeq and is a predicted model, not a curated record.